UACGUAGGGUCCGAGCGUUGCCCGGAAUUAUUGGGCGUAAAGGGCUCGUAGGCGGUUUGUCGCGUCGGGAGUGAAAACACCGGGCUUAACUCGGUGCUUGCUUUCGAUACGGGCAGACUGGAGGUAUGCAGGGGAGAACGGAAUUCCUGGUGUAGCGGUGAAAUGCGCAGAUAUCAGGAGGAACACCGGUGGCGAAGGCGGGUCUCUGGGCAGUAACUGACGCUGAGGAGCGAAAGCGUGGGGAGCGAACAGG
Molecule: ribosomal RNA, 253 nt
Filed under: uncultured bacterium
Lineage: Bacteria
Description: partial 16S ribosomal RNA
Rfam family: Bacterial small subunit ribosomal RNA
Source: RNAcentral